GUGGGGAAUAUUGGACAAUGGGCGAAAGCCUGAUCCAGCCAUGCCGCGUGUGUGAAGAAGGUCUUCGGAUUGUAAAGCACUUUAAGUUGGGAGGAAGGGCAGUAAGUUAAUACCUUGCUGUUUUGACGUUACCGACAGAAUAAGCACCGGCUAACUUCGUGCCAGCAGCCGCGGUAAUACGAAGGGUGCAAGCGUUAAUCGGAAUUACUGGGCGUAAAGCGCGCGUAGGUGGUUUUGUAAGUUGAAGGUGAAAUCCCCGGGCUCAACCUGGGAACUGCCUCCAAAACUGCAUGACUAGAGUACGGUAGAGGGUAGUGGAAUUUCCUGUGUAGCGGUGAAAUGCGUAGAUAUAGGAAGGAACACCAGUGGCGAAGGCGACUACCUGGACUGAUACUGACACUGAGGUGCGAAAGCGUGGGGAGCAAACAGGAUUAGAAACCCCGGUAGUCC
Molecule: ribosomal RNA, 450 nt
Filed under: uncultured bacterium
Lineage: Bacteria
Description: bacterial SSU rRNA
Rfam family: Bacterial small subunit ribosomal RNA
Source: RNAcentral